AAUAUCGUAACCAAUGAGGUUUAUCCGAGGUGCGAUUAUUGCUAGUUGAAAACUUUACCAAUACCCCGCCUUGUGGACGUGAAAAACCGUCCACUAUGGCAAUUUUUGGAAGG
RNAcentral lists this small nuclear RNA (113 nucleotides) under Bombyx mori (domestic silkworm). Its description in RNAcentral is "partial U4-2 variant snRNA". It matches the Rfam family "U4 spliceosomal RNA", at positions 17 to 127 of the family's 138-position model. From Rfam's summary of the family: U4 small nuclear RNA (U4 snRNA) is a component of the major U2-dependent spliceosome. The record is from RNAcentral. Lineage: Eukaryota; Metazoa; Arthropoda; Insecta; Lepidoptera; Bombycidae.